This 334-nucleotide long non-coding RNA is filed under the name Cicer arietinum (chickpea). RNAcentral's name for it is "long non-coding RNA (CARI_LNC002732)". Lineage: Eukaryota; Viridiplantae; Streptophyta; Magnoliopsida; Fabales; Fabaceae. The record is from RNAcentral.
AAAGAAGUCAUCACUAAUACGAUUCAUGUGUGGGAAAAGGGACACCACCGGAAUGAUCAUCGAUGGGAAUAAAAGCCACGGUUAUAAUCUAUUAGUAAGAACUAAAUUGCAUGACAAACACCAAAGAGGAAGCAACACACUCUAAUGAAACAAGUCAUGAUCGAUUAGCGGAGUGAGAAAAUGCAUCUAAAACAGGAGAGACAAUGGUUGUUUCAGAAAACUUGUUGGAAAUCUUUUCCAGCAGCGACGGCUUUUGGCGACGCGCUUUCGGGCAUGACCUGAUCUGGAGAUGACGACGCUGUUCGCAGGAAAAUUUGUUGGAAAUAGUGGCAGC